UUCAGAUUGGAUUUUGUUGUUUUUAUGCUGUAAUUUUCUCUGAAUCUGGACACACAUAGAUACCAUCUCUGCUGUCAUUUGUUUUGAAGAUGAAUUUCAUCUAAUGCUUCCUUCAGAUGUAACUGGCAUGUGCACAUUCUCACACUGCGGGAAUUUGACUUCAUCUUCUCACCCCAAAGCACUGGCCACUUAAAGAACUGCCAUUUCACUGAGACAGAUAUUGGGGAUUUGCUUAUUUUAUAUUUUCAAAUAUGCAUUUCUGUUCAAGAUAUUUGAAAGCUGAAUUAUAUGUGGGAGAGCGAUGCAGAGGAAGAGCUGAUGAUGUGAGAAAUGCAAGAUACGAGUACUGGAAAUGAUGGUUCCAGUAGAUGAGACCCACUCAGAUAAUAAAAAUGUGAGUCAGCUCCCA
RNAcentral lists this long non-coding RNA (409 nucleotides) under Dromaius novaehollandiae (emu). RNAcentral's name for it is "lncRNA (ENSDNVG00000001542.1)". The record is from RNAcentral. Lineage: Eukaryota; Metazoa; Chordata; Aves; Casuariiformes; Dromaiidae.